This 251-nucleotide ribosomal RNA is filed under the name uncultured bacterium. RNAcentral's name for it is "partial 16S ribosomal RNA". It matches the Rfam family "Bacterial small subunit ribosomal RNA", at positions 15 to 249 of the family's 1533-position model. The record is from RNAcentral.
GCUCAUGGCUCAGGAUGAACGCUGGCGGCGUGCUUAACACAUGCAAGUCGAACGGGAAACCUUUUAUUGAAGCUUCGGCAGAUUUAGCUGGUUUCUAGUGGCGGACGGGUGAGUAACGCGUGGGUAACCUGCCUUGUACAGGGGGAUAACAGUCAGAAAUGACUGCUAAUACCGCAUAAGCGCACAGGACCGCAUGGUCCGGUGUGAAAAACUCCGGUGGUAUAAGAUGGACCCGCGUUGGAUUAGCUUGG